Molecule: non-coding RNA, 92 nt
Organism: Saitozyma sp. JCM 24511
Lineage: Eukaryota; Fungi; Basidiomycota; Tremellomycetes; Tremellales; Trimorphomycetaceae
Source: the annotation of a GenBank genome assembly
CUCUCGGUGGCGAAGGGGUAUCGCGUAGGACUGUAACGGCUAAACCAACCCCCAUCAUCCUCAGAUCGUGUGUUCGAUUCACACCCGAGAGA